Molecule: transfer RNA, 82 nt
Filed under: Amphibalanus amphitrite
Lineage: Eukaryota; Metazoa; Arthropoda; Thecostraca; Balanomorpha; Balanidae
Description: tRNA-Ser
Rfam family: tRNA
About the family: Transfer RNA (tRNA) molecules are approximately 80 nucleotides in length. Their secondary structure includes four short double-helical elements and three loops (D, anti-codon, and T loops).
Source: Rfam by way of RNAcentral
GACGAGGUGGCCGAGUGGUUAAGGCGUUGGACUGCUAAUCCAAUGGGCUCUGCCCGCGCGAGUUCGAAUCUCGUCCUCGUCG